AAAUUGAAGAGUUUGAUCAUGGCUCAGAUUGAACGCUGGCGGCAGGCCUAACACAUGCAAGUCGAACGGUAACAGGAAACAGCUUGCUGUUUCGCUGACGAGUGGCGGACGGGUGAGUAAUGUCUGGGAAACUGCCUGAUGGAGGGGGAUAACUACUGGAAACGGUAGCUAAUACCGCAUAACGUCGCAAGACCAAAGAGGGGGGACCUUCGGGCCUCUUGCCAUCGGAUGUGCCCAGAUGGGAUUAGCUAGUAGGUGGGGUAACGGCUCACCUAGGCGACGAUCCCUAGCUGGUCUGAGAGGAUGACCAGCCACACUGGAACUGAGACACGGUCCAGACUCCUACGGGAGGCAGCAGUGGGGAAUAUUGCACAAUGGGCGCAAGCCUGAUGCAGCCAUGCCGCGUGUAUGAAGAAGGCCUUCGGGUUGUAAAGUACUUUCAGCGGGGGAGGAAGGGAGUAAAGUUAAUACCUUUGCUCAUUGACGUUACCCGCAGAAGAAGCACCGGCUAACUCCGUGCCAGCAGCCGCGGUAAUACGGAGGGUGCAAGCGUUAAUCGGAAUUACUGGGCGUAAAGCGCACGCAGGCGGUUUGUUAAGUCAGAUGUGAAAUCCCCGGGCUCAACCUCGGGAACUGCAUCUGAUACUGGCAAGCUUGAGUCUCGUAGAGGGGGGUAGAAUUCAGUGUAGCGGUGAAAUGCGUAGAGAUCUGGAGGAAUACCGGUGGCGAAGGCGGCCCCCCUGGACGAAGACUGACGCUCAGGUGCGAAAGCGUGGGGAGCAAACAGGAUUAGAUACCCCGGUAGUCCACGCCGUAAACGAUGUCGACUUGGAGGUUGUGCCCUUGAGGCGUGGCUUCCGGAGCUAACGCGUUAAGUCGACCGCCCGGGGAGUACGGCCGCAAGGUUAAAACUCAAAUGAAUUGACGGGGGGCCCGCACAAGCGGUGGAGCAUGUGGUUUAAUUCGAUGCAACGCGAAGAACCUUACCCUGGUCUUGACAUCCACAGAACCUUGUAGAGAUACGAGGGUGCCUUCGGGAACUGUGAGACAGGUGCUGCAUGGCUGUCGUCAGCUCGUGUUGUGAAAUGUUGGGUUAAGUCCCGCAACGAGCGCAACCCUUAUCCUUUGUUGCCAGCGGUCCGGCCGGGAACUCAAAGGAGACUGCCAGUGAUAAACUGGAGGAAGGUGGGGAUGACGUCAAGUCAUCAUGGCCCUUACGACCAGGGGCUACACACGUGCUACAAUGGCGCAUACAAAGAGAAGCGACCUCGCGAGAGCAAGCGGACCUCAUAAAGUGCGUCGUAGUCCGGAUUGGAGUCUGCAACUCGACUCCAUGAAGUCGGAAUCGCUAGUAAUCGUGGAUCAGAAUGCCACGGUGAAUACGUUCCCGGGCCUUGUACACACCGCCCGUCACACCAUGGGAGUGGGUUGCAAAAGAAGUAGGUAGCUUAACCUUCGGGAGGGCGCUUACCACUUUGUGAUUCAUGACUGGGGGUGAAGUCGUAACAAGGUAACCGUAGGGGAACCUGCGGUUGGAUCACCUCCUUACCUUAAAGAAGC
Molecule: ribosomal RNA, 1560 nt
Filed under: Escherichia coli
Lineage: Bacteria; Pseudomonadati; Pseudomonadota; Gammaproteobacteria; Enterobacterales; Enterobacteriaceae
Description: bacterial SSU rRNA
Rfam family: Bacterial small subunit ribosomal RNA
Source: RNAcentral